Molecule: ribosomal RNA, 405 nt
Filed under: uncultured bacterium
Lineage: Bacteria
Description: bacterial SSU rRNA
Rfam family: Bacterial small subunit ribosomal RNA
Source: RNAcentral
GGGGAAUAUUGCACAAUGGGGGAAACCCUGAUGCAGCAACGCCGCGUGAGGGAUGACGGCCUUCGGGUUGUAAACCUCUUUUGGCAGGGAAGAAGCGAGAGUGACGGUACCUGCAGAAAAAGCGCCGGCUAACUACGUGCCAGCAGCCGCGGUAAUACGUAGGGCGCGAGCGUUGUCCGGAAUCAUUGGGCGUAAAGAGCUCGUAGGCGGUUUGUCGCGUCUGCUGUGAAAGCCUGGGGCUCAACUCCGGGAUUGCAGUGGGUACGGGCAGACUAGAGUGCGGUAGGGGAGACUGGAAUUCCUGGUGUAGCGGUGGAAUGCGCAGAUAUCAGGAAGAACACCGAUGGCGAAGGCAGGUCUCUGGGCCGUUACUGACGCUGAGGAGCGAAAGCAUGGGGAGCGAAC